CACUCAAAAUUUUAAACCAUGGCAAAGAAGAACAAAAUGUCCAUAUUUGCAACUUUUAUGGUUUUUUCCCUUCUUUUCAUUCUUUGUAAUUCUUCUUCUGAUGGUAAUUAUUUAAGUGAUUCUAUUGCAACUAUAGACAACUAUUUUACUCCAGUUUCAAAGGGCUUUUUUGCUGAGCUUCAACGUAGGAAAAUGGAGAUUUGCUCAUGUACUCCUUGCUGUUACAUAUGUCCAUGCCCUACUUCUUAAAUUGGCUCUCUAAUAAAGAUAGAGUUAACUUAUAUACGUCGACAAUAUAUAUAUUUUUUGCACUAUCACAUCACCCUUAAUUACUUGUUAUAUGGAUGAUCUUUACUUACAGUUAUCUUUCUCGUGAUCUGAUAGUGUAAAAUUUUCUUUACGUUGUCGACGGAUAUUAGUCAAACUCAAACCAUAGUCUACUUUGUAUUUGUUUUUCCUUUAUGUAUUUCCCUAUGUAAUGUUGAUGUCCUGUUAAAAAUAGAGCUGAUGGUACAUAGAUGAAUAGUCUAUAAACUAUCAGUUCCAAGUGUUUGAAUUGUAUAAUUAAGAGAAUAAAACGUUUAAAUCCUUUUAUGUAGGAAAAUUUGUUCUAUAAACGAUACUUUACUACACUAUAAAACUUCAGAUUUAUCCGUGAGAUUUACUUUGCCCUCUAUAUCAAUAAAAGAGUGAGUUUUCGACUCAGUAAGUAUCAUAGACUCUCGUGAACAAAUUAGCAUACAAUAUUUUUUCUACUGUUAUAAAAAAAAUACUUAAAAUUGAUCGGACCAAACUGAUAUUUUAGAAUUUUUAUAUUAAUAUAAAAUUAGAAUGGCAUGUUUUGGCAGAAACUUAUAACUAUCUGAUUAUAAUAGGUUAAAUUUUAAAUAUAACUUUUUAAAAAUACAGGACCGAACCUAUAUAAUAUACAAUAAUAUGCACAAAAUAUUACUUUGGUUAGAGCCAAGCUUCGACCGUGCCACUAGGUCUUAUCAAUUCACAUAUGUACGAUUUCCUAGGAACUUCUAUUGCGCUCAAUUCUCAUGUAGCUAUUUCCUAGAAACUUUAAUUGCGCUCAUAUAGCUAUAUCAUAUGUUACAUGAUCGUUAAUAUUAUUUUUGUCUUUUAAAUUAUCAAUUGACUGUAGCUAUUUCCUAGAAACUUUAAUUGCGCUCAUAUAGCUAUAUGUUACAUGAUCGUUACUAUUAUUUUUGUCUUUUAAAUUAUCAAAUUACUUAAGUUACAAUAUAAUUCCCCAAUUUAACUCACCAAGGGAUCGGGGCGUUCGUCGUUCGAUAUGGUAAGAUAUUUUGAUUCGGUAUUUUUAAUUUUUGAUUUCGCAAAAUCCGAUAGGUAUGGUUCGGUUUUUCUUGUUUCGAUCUCGGUUUAUUCAGUUCGAUAUCUUCGGUUUAUUCUGUUUGAAUACGAACUAAUGAAUAAAGCCAUACACUCUAAUAUUCUUAACUGAAGUACUCACAAAUACAAAACUGAAAAUAUUUGUUCACAAAAAAUUUGUCCAAAACUAGUAAAUAUCGACUCAAAUAGAGAAAAUUGUACAUAAAAAAAAUAUUUGAUCAGUAGAAAUGUCUUGUUACUUGUUUAGAAUUAAUUGAUAAACUUUGAGAAUAAAGGAAAGUAAACUUUUAAAUUUUUUAUAUUUAUGUUAUAAUUGAUAAUAUAUAUUUUGUGUAGUAUAAUAUAUAUUUCGAUACAGUAUCGAUACUUUGGUAUUAUCAUACGAAAUACCAAAAUACCAUACAAUAAAUACUAAAAUUUUCAAUUUUAAUACGAUCAUUCGAUAUUUACCAAAUUAUGCCCGACCCUACCAACGGAUGCUUUGUCGGCCUUCAUUUCCUCUUUGACUAAGAGAGUAUGACUUCUUGUUUUUUCUAAUUACUAGUAUAACAACAUAUGUUUUCCUAGUUGAAUAAAAAAAUAGUCGAUGAGAGAAGUAAAUGAAAAAAUUAUUAGGGGUUUGUCCAGAUUUUCUUACUAUGGAAAUGACAACUUAUUUAUUAUAAUUGGAAUUUUCUUUUCCUAGAAGGAAGAUAUAAUUUUUCAUGGUUAGUUCCUUUUCUUGUAGGAAAGGUUUGGACUUCUAUAAAUUUGUAUACAGUCAAAAUCGGGCCCUAUUUAAUCGAGAACAAGGGAUCACAUCGAGGGUCAGCCUUGUAAUGGAUCGGGCCAGAGCAUGAAGACGAGCUGUCGAGUUCGAGAAUCGAGGUGCCAGUCGAGAUUGAGGCCAACAACGAUCGAGACCAAAUUUGACCGACUUCGAGCAAAGCGCAAUAAUGAAAAUGCGAGACAUUUGUAACCGGUCGAAGAUCACUAUGGAAAUUCCAGAACAGAUCAAAUCAAAGGCGGUAAUUUAGGCUAAUCAUGGGAUUUACUUCUGUAAUUAUAGUUAUAUCAUAAUUAGGAUUUCUCUAUUAUAUAAAGGGGAGUCCCCAUCAUUUAUAGGCACCUUACAAGGACACGGAUUAAAGCAAUACAAUAUUCUCUCUUUAGAUUACAUUCUCUUAUUUAUCAGUUUGUUACAUUUUAAUUGUUCUUGCAUAACUAGCUCGAGG
Molecule: long non-coding RNA, 2570 nt
Filed under: Nicotiana benthamiana
Lineage: Eukaryota; Viridiplantae; Streptophyta; Magnoliopsida; Solanales; Solanaceae
Description: long non-coding RNA (NBEN_LNC037094)
Source: RNAcentral